GCCGGCGGCGCACGCGCAAGGGAGCGGGCGGACGGGCGCGCGCACGCCGCAGGGGCGGGGAUGGGCCCUGGAAGGCGUGGCCCCUCCCCUAGCCCGCCUUCCCACGCGGUCUCUGGGCUGGUUGAGCUGCGCCGCUGCAGGUAGUGCUGAGUUGCUCCAGAUUGGAGAGGAUGAAGGCCCUGAGGUCCAAGAACAUGGAAACCUGACAGUGGACGCCAACAGCUGUGGAGAGAAGCCGGGCGACAGCUGUGGAGAGAAGCCGGGCGAUAUGCUCACGCUUCCGUGUGCCCAGCAAUCCUGCUUUAUCUUUUUAAAUAAAGGUGAUUCCUGAUAACACU
This 338-nucleotide long non-coding RNA is filed under the name Homo sapiens (human). RNAcentral describes it as "HSALNT0060482". The record is from RNAcentral. Lineage: Eukaryota; Metazoa; Chordata; Mammalia; Primates; Hominidae.